AUUGGUGUUCGUCGGAUCCGUCGAACCCCUUUUCUAGGACGAAAUCGUGUGCUGCUGUACCGACUCGCUGGACCGAACCAGCGCGGUGGCCGUCCGUCUCGACGAGCUGCGAGCUGCACCCAAACAAUCCUUCACCGGCUUCUGUACUGUCUCCCUACACAAGCGCCUCGCCGACCUCGAGGCCUGCGUCUCCGCCGCCGCGCCAGACUGCAGGUCCACCUCCGCCAUCCGCUCGCUCUACUUUCAAUGGCGUCGCCGCGUCGGCGCGGUGCCGUCGGGCUCCGGCGCUACUGCCCUGCCUUUGAUGAGCGAGUGCAAGACAGGCACCUCGCAGAUCGCGGACACCAUCCCGAAAGAGGAGUGGCGGCAUACGAGUAGGGAGAGGUCAGGGCGAAGGGGGCGAGGAACAAGAGAAGGCUGCCGCCGUUUGGGCGCGGAGGGCGACGACCUCGUUCCCGGCGAGCGGCGGCGCCGGUGCCGGCGAAAAUACCUGUGCCAGCUACGGGUCUUCAGUUCUAGACAGGGGAGAGAUGGGCCGUGCUCCAUUUGGUUUGGGUCGGGUGCAGCCAGGGGCAGGUUGGUCUUGAACAUUUGGUUGCUAUCCUCAAAGUAAUCUAGAUUAAUGUAAAAGGGCAAAUCAUCAAAUGCAAAAGUAAUUUGGGGCAAAAAAGAAAGCCCCUUGUAAAUGAGGGCAAAACGUAGAGUGACAAGAGUAAAUAGGGGCAAAAAAAUAAAAUUCCCCCAGAACGUGGCCCAGUUUGAUCUUUUUCUCCUACCUCUGGCGAGUCCGCCUGAGUAGAAUGCCGAGGCGGCCGACUCGUUCGGUCGUUACCUUCCUCCCCCUCCGGCCAUCUCCCCUCGCCGCCUCGCCUCCUCCCUAAACCGCUGCCCCUACGCCCGCGGGCGGCCGCUCCCCCCAAUUCUCGCUGCCCGGGCUGUCAGGCGCUCGGCCGCUCGCCGCUCGCCGCUCGCCGCUCGGACACCGGGCAAGCAAACGCGUAGUGGCACAGGGCAAGAGCAGGAGCGAGCAGCGCUAGCGACAUCAGGCCCAGAGUCCAGAUCAGAUGCAGCAGUGCCAAUCUGUUGUCUCGUUCUCUCCACUGUGCCGAGCUGUAGAGGAGGCAAUAGUGGGAAGGCGGGAUUUGGAGGGUGGCAAUGGUGGGUGUGGGUGGGGAUCCGCUGCACAUAGAAGGAAUAUGGAUGAAGAACAUGCCUGCUCAGGCUGCGGCGUGAACUUCUCGGUGCCGAAGGUGAAGUGGCGGUGUCCAACUCUAGAAAGAGGGACUCGGUGGGCGGCCCAGCGGGUGGAGUAAGCCUGCCGCGGAUCGUCAGCACUUGGGCAUUUAGUGGGUAGCGUCACACGCCGCCGCACUUGUAAGGUAAACAUACUCCGCAAUGCUCUGUUUACAUCAGAUCAAAUAGCUAGCAGUGAAUCAUAGAUGAGAGAUGCGGUCAUGGCAACUUGUUUAUCUGUGUGGUAGUAUAGCCGGGUAAAUUCAGAAGGGAGUAAAAUUCCUAGUGAGGCAGAAGCAAAAUGUAGAGAGCACAUAAAUUGCUCCGUAAGGUUUAGAGAGCACAGAAAAUGACUAAGAACAAUAUCGUCGUGCCAGGAGGUGAAUCAAGCUGAUAUGCUACUCUUAA
Long non-coding RNA from Lolium perenne, 1641 nucleotides. RefSeq lists it as uncharacterized. The record is from RefSeq and is a predicted model, not a curated record. Lineage: Eukaryota; Viridiplantae; Streptophyta; Magnoliopsida; Poales; Poaceae.